Molecule: unclassified non-coding RNA, 680 nt
Filed under: Hevea brasiliensis (rubber tree)
Lineage: Eukaryota; Viridiplantae; Streptophyta; Magnoliopsida; Malpighiales; Euphorbiaceae
Source: RNAcentral
AAAAUUGUGAACACCAUCAGAAAAGAGGUUGAGAUAACCAAAGACAAGGCUUGAACGUGAUUUAGCCUGUUCCUCUCCAGUUGAUGUAGAAUUGGUAGAGCAAUUUGCAGCAUCUAAAGCAGUAUUGUCUUCAGCAGCACUGGAGCCAGUAUUCCUCUUCCGUAGAAUAGCUCCUCCAUUUGGUUUCUCCCCAUUGGGAGAGUCAGUAGACACUCCAUCCACUCUACUCCCUCCAGCUACCUUUUCUGAUGAACUUCCAUCUUUCUCCUGAGACAGUUCCCGGAGAUUGUCAUCAGCAUCAUUAUCAUCCUUCAACUUUGUGUAGUGCAUAUGAUGAUGGUGAUGAUGACCAUGACUCCGCUCAUUGACUCCUCCAGAAAACUCUUCAACAUACCUCACAAGCUUCUCAACAAUAAGAAAGAGCACAAUUCCAGCCAAAAUGGACAAUCCAACAGAAAGAUCCUCCAAUGAAUGGGCGUGUGAAUGACCAGAGUGAUCAUGAAGAUGGUCAUCAUGUGAGUGGGAGUGCCCACCACCAAAAGCAUGUGGCACUUGGUGAAGGAAAGCAUCCCCCAGCAUGGCUCCUGCCCCAAAUAAUGCUAAAGAAUCUACAACUGCUUUUGACGGCUUCCCGUGUAUAAAUAUUAAAGGCAAAAGAAUCAGGCAGAUAAGGGAAGCCA